AAUGAACGCUGGCGGCGUGCCUAAUACAUGCAAGUCGAGCGAACAGACGAGGAGCUUGCUCCUCUGACGUUAGCGGCGGACGGGUGAGUAACACGUGGAUAACCUACCUAUAAGACUGGGAUAACUUCGGGAAACCGGAGCUAAUACCGGAUAAUAUAUUGAACCGCAUGGUUCAAUAGUGAAAGACGGUUUUGCUGUCACUUAUAGAUGGAUCCGCGCUGAAUUAUCUAGUUGGUAAGGUAACGGCUUACCAAGGCAACGAUGCGUAGCCGACCUGAGAGGGUGAUCGGCACACGGGAACUGAGACACGGUCCAGACUCCUACGGGAGGCAGCAGUAGGGAAUCUUCCGCAAUGGGCGAAAGCCUGACGGAGCAACGCCGCGUGAGUGAUGAAGGUCUUCGGAUCGUAAAACUCUGUUAUUAGGGAAGAACAAAUGUGUAAGUAACUAUGCACGUCUUGACGGUACCUAAUCAGAAAGCCACGGCUAACUACGUG
Molecule: ribosomal RNA, 496 nt
Filed under: uncultured bacterium
Lineage: Bacteria
Description: partial 16S ribosomal RNA
Rfam family: Bacterial small subunit ribosomal RNA
Source: RNAcentral